AUUGAACGCUGGCGGCAGGCCUAACACAUGCAAGUCGAACGCGUGGCGGACGGGUGAGUAAUGUCUGGGAAACUGCCCGAUGGAGGGGGAUCACUACUGGAAACUGUAGCUAAUCCCGUAUCCCCUCGGAUGCGCACAGAUGGGAUUCGCUAGUAGGUGGGGUAACGGCUCACCUAGGCGACGAUCCCUAGGUGGUCUGAGAGGAUGACCAGCCACACUGGAACUGAGACACGGUCCAGACUCCUACGGGAGGCAGCAGUGGGGAAUAUUGCACAAUGGGCGCAAGCCUGAUGCAGCCAUGCCGCGUGUAUGAAGAAGGCCUUCGGGUUGUAAAGUACUUUCAGCGGGGAGGCGUUACUCGCAGAAGAAGCACCGGCUAACUCCGUGCCAGCAGCCGCGGUAAUUC
Molecule: ribosomal RNA, 406 nt
Filed under: uncultured bacterium
Lineage: Bacteria
Description: partial 16S ribosomal RNA
Rfam family: Bacterial small subunit ribosomal RNA
Source: RNAcentral